GCCUAAAGCGUCCGUAGCCGGCUCUGUUAGUUUUCGGUUAAAUCCAUAUGCUCAACAUAUGGGCCGCCGGGAAUACUGCAGAGCUAGGGAGUGGGAGAGGUAGACGGUACUCGGGAGGAAGUGGUAAAAUGCUUUGAUCUCUCGAUGACCACCUGUGGCGAAGGCGGUCUACCAGAACACGUCCGACGGUGAGGGAUGAAAGCUGGGGGAGCAAACCGGAUUAGAUACCCGGGUAGUCCCAGCUGUAAACGAUGCAGACUCGGUGAUGCGCUGGCUUGUGGCCAGUGCAGUGCCGCAGGGAAGCCGUUAAGUUUGCCGCCUGGGAAGUACGUACGCAAGUAUGAAACUUAAAGGAAUUGGCGGGGGAGCACCACAAGGGGUGAAGCCUGCGGUUCAAUUGGAGUCAACGCCAGAAAUCUUACCCGAAGAGACAGCAGAAUGAAGGUCAAGCUGGAGACUUUACCAGACAAGCUGAGAAGUGGUGCAUGGCCGUCGCCAGCUCGUGCCGUGAGAUGUCCUGUUAAGUCAGGUAACGAGCGAGAUCCCUGCCUCUAGUUGCCACCAUUACUCUCAGGAGUAGUGGGGCGAAUUAGCGGGACCGCCGCAGUUAAUGCGGAGGAAGGAAGGGGCCACGGCAGGUCAGUAUGCCCCGAA
RNAcentral lists this ribosomal RNA (654 nucleotides) under uncultured archaeon. Its description in RNAcentral is "bacterial SSU rRNA". It matches the Rfam family "Archaeal small subunit ribosomal RNA", at positions 508 to 1160 of the family's 1478-position model. The record is from RNAcentral.